Non-coding RNA from Ictalurus punctatus (channel catfish), 819 nucleotides. NCBI's taxonomy places the organism in Eukaryota, Metazoa, Chordata, Actinopteri, Siluriformes, Ictaluridae. The record is from the annotation of a RefSeq genome assembly.
UUCUGCGUCAACACACCAUGAUCUCUGCAUCCCUACUGCUGCUGCUGGCAGCCGUACACUGUGUUCACUGUGUUGAGCUGAUCCAGCCCGGAUCCACAGUAUUAACCCCUGGUCAGUCAAUGACUCUGACCUGUAAAGUGUCUGGAUAUUCAUUAACUGAUAGCAACUACUGUACACACUGGAUACGACAACCUGCUGGAAAAGCUCUGGAGUGGGUCGGACAGAUAUGUGGUAGCGGUAACACUUACUACAGUGAGAAACUGAAAAGCAGGUUUCAGGUUUCCAGAGACACGUCCAGCAGCACAGUAACAUUAACAGGGCAGAACAUGCAGACUGAAGACACAGCUGUGUAUUACUGCGCUCGUGAACCACAGUGAGACAGAUCAACAACAUCCCUGUACAAAAACACCUCAUACAAAGUCCUUUUAGAACUUUUCCAACCAAGUCUAAAUGGUAAACAAACAAAUAAAUAAAUAAAUUACCCAAAUGACACCUAAUAGGUUAAAUUAAAUCAUUUUAUGAGUAGUUUGUAGUAUAGAUUUAAACAGUAUGCCAUCAAAACCAUAAUCUCUAAUGUUGCUGCAUGUUCUACACACAGUCAAAAGUUUUUGAUCUACUUGAUUUUAUGUUUUAGAUUUUACCAACAUAAAGUUAAUUAUUUUUCUUUAGCAUCCUUACGUGUUUUAUUCCUCUUAUACCACUGCAGUGUACUCACAAUUACAAUGUUGUAUUGAUUAAAGAAUGAGACAUCAUACAUUUUAUCCAUUUAUAAUCACAUUUAUUGUUGUGGAACAUUCAAAAAAUACAUUAUACAUUGUA